This 483-nucleotide ribosomal RNA is filed under the name Triticum aestivum (bread wheat). RNAcentral's name for it is "partial small subunit ribosomal RNA". Lineage: Eukaryota; Viridiplantae; Streptophyta; Magnoliopsida; Poales; Poaceae. The record is from RNAcentral.
AUGGGCAGCAGCAAGUCCAUGGCAGAGCAGCUCGAAAUCGAUCCCCAACGACGACACCACCGGCCGCUGCUCCAUUGCGAAGUAGCCGUGGCAGGCACCGCAAGUAUGGAGGAGGUUAAAGGGGAGAGGAGGAAGAAGGUGGCCGCCGAAGGGGAGAGGAGGAAGGAGGUGGCCGCCGCGGAAGGACUGGUGUGCAGCGGGAGGAAGGGAGGGUGCCGGCUUGGGAGUGAGGCGUGGUGGAGAGGGAGGGAGCAGCGCGGAUCCUGGGUGGGCGGCGAGGCAGAGUGUGCCGUGCGCACGGGGGAGCCGGCCCACCGGGAUCCCGUGCUGGCGCGCCGCGGUGGACAGGGGAAACCGGUGGAGACGGGGGGAAACGGGCGAGGGAGUCACGGAGGAAAGCGGUGGAGACGGGGGCGUUCUCGCAGGAAAAAAAUGGAAGUGGAGGCCGAUGGGCGGGCUGGGCUGGGAUUACGUCCAUCGUGA